GCUAAACGCGAAGAACCUUACCUGGCCUUGACAUCCAUGGAAUCCCGAAGAGAUUCGGGAGUGCCGCAAGGAACCAUGAGACAGGUGCUGCAUGGCUGUCGUCAGCUCGUGUCGUGAGAUGUUGGGUUAAGUCCCGCAACGAGCGCAACCCUUGUCCUUAGUUGCCAUCAUUAAGUUGGGAACUCUAAGGAGACCGCCGGUGACAAACCGGAGGAAGGUGGGGAUGACGUCAAGUCAUCAUGGCCUUUAUGGCCAGGGCUACACACGUGCUACAAUGGCAGGUACAGAGGGAAGCCAACCAGCAAUGGGGAGCCAAUCCCAGAAAGCCUGUCUUAGUCCGGAUUGCAGUCUGCAACUCGACUGCAUGAAGUUGGAAUCGCUAGUAAUCGCAGAUCAGCAUUGCUGCGGUGAAUACGUUCCCGGGUCUUGUACACACCG
Molecule: ribosomal RNA, 438 nt
Filed under: uncultured bacterium
Lineage: Bacteria
Description: bacterial SSU rRNA
Rfam family: Bacterial small subunit ribosomal RNA
Source: RNAcentral